This is a long non-coding RNA of Pipra filicauda (Wire-tailed manakin), 195 nucleotides long. RefSeq lists it as uncharacterized. The transcript has 3 exons. NCBI's taxonomy places the organism in Eukaryota, Metazoa, Chordata, Aves, Passeriformes, Pipridae. The record is from RefSeq and is a predicted model, not a curated record.
CCCUUCAGGAUGUGGGAAGAUUUCAUGAAAAUCCUUGCAGACGCUACAACUACAAACAAGCAAUAAGAAACUCUGUGCUACUUAUGCCCAUACUUGAGCAAAACCAGGAAGCAUGCUGGAAAAUAACAAGUCAAGGCUCUGGAUUCAUCUCAGAUGAGGUUCAUUUAUCAGGUCUACCACUGACAAUGAUUGGAG